RNAcentral lists this ribosomal RNA (253 nucleotides) under uncultured bacterium. RNAcentral describes it as "partial 16S ribosomal RNA". It matches the Rfam family "Bacterial small subunit ribosomal RNA", at positions 524 to 776 of the family's 1533-position model. The record is from RNAcentral.
AACGUAGGUGGCGAGCGUUAUCCGGAUUUACUGGGCGUAAAGGGUGCGUAGGCGGUCGGGUAAGUCUGAUGUGAAAUCUCACAGCUUAACUGUGAAACUGCAUUGGAUACUAUCCGGCUCGAGGAAUGGAGGGGAGACUGGAAUACUUGGUGUAGCAGUGAAAUGCGUAGAUAUCAAGUGGAACACCAGUGGCGAAGGCGAGUCUCUGGACAUUUCCUGACGCUGAGGCACGAAAGCCAGGGGAGCAAACGGG